AACGAACGCUGGCGGCAUGCCUAACACAUGCAAGUCGAACGAGACCUUCGGGUCUAGUGGCGCACGGGUGCGUAACGCGUGGGAACCUGCCCUUAGGUUCGGAAUAACUCCCCGAAAGGGGUGCUAAUACCGGAUAAUGUCUUCGGACCAAAGAUUAUCGCCUUUGGAUGGGCCCGCGUUGGAUUAGCUAGUUGGCAGGGUAAAAGCCUACCAAGGCGACGAUCCAUAGCUGGUCUGAGAGGAUGAUCAGCCACACUGGGACUGAGACACGGCCCAGACUCCUACGGGAGGCAGCAGUGGGGAAUAUUGGACAAUGGGCGAAAGCCUGAUCCAGCAAUGCCGCGUGAGUGAUGAAGGCCUUAGGGUUGUAAAGCUCUUUUACCCGGGAUGAUAAUGACAGUACCGGGAGAAUAAGCUCCGGCUAACUCCGUG
Molecule: ribosomal RNA, 432 nt
Filed under: uncultured bacterium
Lineage: Bacteria
Description: partial 16S ribosomal RNA
Rfam family: Bacterial small subunit ribosomal RNA
Source: RNAcentral